GGGGGCACAGUUCAGUGGUAGAGCACGUGCCUAGCAUGCACAAGGUCUUGGGUUCCAUCCCCAGUACUUCCA
Molecule: transfer RNA, 72 nt
Filed under: Camelus bactrianus (Bactrian camel)
Lineage: Eukaryota; Metazoa; Chordata; Mammalia; Artiodactyla; Camelidae
Also listed under: 2 other names
Rfam family: tRNA
About the family: Transfer RNA (tRNA) molecules are approximately 80 nucleotides in length.
Source: Rfam by way of RNAcentral